This 327-nucleotide long non-coding RNA is filed under the name Amborella trichopoda. RNAcentral's name for it is "long non-coding RNA (ATRI_LNC001577)". Lineage: Eukaryota; Viridiplantae; Streptophyta; Magnoliopsida; Amborellales; Amborellaceae. The record is from RNAcentral.
GAUAGUGCUAGACUUAACCUGUCCCUUGGUUGAACGAGAGAGGAAGAUGAAAGAAGAGAGCAAAGAAACAAAGGGAGAAAAGAUAAGAGAGGAAGAAGUAAGAGAAGAGCAUUGAGAGAGAAGAAGGAAGAAAAGCAGAGAGAGAACGAGAGAGAGGAGAAGCGAGGAAAAGAAGAAAAAGAGAAGAGAAGAGAGGAAGAAGAGGAAGAGUGGAGAGAAGUCAAAAGAGCGAGAAGAAGAAGUGAAGAGAAGAGAGAACACGAAGAGAAGGGAGGAGAAGAAGAAAAGAAGAAGAGAAGAGAAGGGAAGAGAAGAGAGAAGAAGAUA